Molecule: non-coding RNA, 338 nt
Organism: Pelobates cultripes (western spadefoot toad)
Lineage: Eukaryota; Metazoa; Chordata; Amphibia; Anura; Pelobatidae
Source: the annotation of a GenBank genome assembly
CUUGAUCUUUCCCUUCCUGCUGUCAUGCAAUAUUUAUUGGGAAUUAAGGCAUCUUUGCCUGACGCCUAGCGUGCUCGCUAAUAUGGGGAUUCUGACGUGAUGGGAGAAGGUUUUCCUAUCUUAUACAGGUGGUCAGCGAGCUUAGGGUACGCCUCAAGUUUUAGGAGCUGCCCAUCUUCAUUUGUAAAAAUGUUUACAAAAGCCAUAUGUCGAUCCAGUAAAUAAAAAUAAAUUUAACCUGAACUUUAUGCUGGAUUUUAACGGAUUGGAAUGCGGUACAGUUUCCAAAUGUUGGCACUAAUGACGAUUUCCAUGUUAUGAACACUGGAAGAGGAACC